Molecule: ribosomal RNA, 2925 nt
Filed under: Escherichia coli
Lineage: Bacteria; Pseudomonadati; Pseudomonadota; Gammaproteobacteria; Enterobacterales; Enterobacteriaceae
Description: 23S ribosomal RNA
Rfam family: Bacterial large subunit ribosomal RNA
Source: RNAcentral
GGGUUGUGAGGUUAAGCGACUAAGCGUACACGGUGGAUGCCCUGGCAGUCAGAGGCGAUGAAGGACGUGCUAAUCUGCGAUAAGCGUCGGUAAGGUGAUAUGAACCGUUAUAACCGGCGAUUUCCGAAUGGGGAAACCCAGUGUGAUUCGUCACACUAUCAUUAACUGAAUCCAUAGGUUAAUGAGGCGAACCGGGGGAACUGAAACAUCUAAGUACCCCGAGGAAAAGAAAUCAACCGAGAUUCCCCCAGUAGCGGCGAGCGAACGGGGAGCAGCCCAGAGCCUGAAUCAGUGUGUGUGUUAGUGGAAGCGUCUGGAAAGGCGCGCGAUACAGGGUGACAGCCCCGUACACAAAAAUGCACAUGCUGUGAGCUCGAUGAGUAGGGCGGGACACGUGGUAUCCUGUCUGAAUAUGGGGGGACCAUCCUCCAAGGCUAAAUACUCCUGACUGACCGAUAGUGAACCAGUACCGUGAGGGAAAGGCGAAAAGAACCCCGGCGAGGGGAGUGAAAAAGAACCUGAAACCGUGUACGUACAAGCAGUGGGAGCCUCUUUUAUGGGGUGACUGCGUACCUUUUGUAUAAUGGGUCAGCGACUUAUAUUCUGUAGCAAGGUUAACCGAAUAGGGGAGCCGAAGGGAAACCGAGUCUUAACUGGGCGUUAAGUUGCAGGGUAUAGACCCGAAACCCGGUGAUCUAGCCAUGGGCAGGUUGAAGGUUGGGUAACACUAACUGGAGGACCGAACCGACUAAUGUUGAAAAAUUAGCGGAUGACUUGUGGCUGGGGGUGAAAGGCCAAUCAAACCGGGAGAUAGCUGGUUCUCCCCGAAAGCUAUUUAGGUAGCGCCUCGUGAAUUCAUCUCCGGGGGUAGAGCACUGUUUCGGCAAGGGGGUCAUCCCGACUUACCAACCCGAUGCAAACUGCGAAUACCGGAGAAUGUUAUCACGGGAGACACACGGCGGGUGCUAACGUCCGUCGUGAAGAGGGAAACAACCCAGACCGCCAGCUAAGGUCCCAAAGUCAUGGUUAAGUGGGAAACGAUGUGGGAAGGCCCAGACAGCCAGGAUGUUGGCUUAGAAGCAGCCAUCAUUUAAAGAAAGCGUAAUAGCUCACUGGUCGAGUCGGCCUGCGCGGAAGAUGUAACGGGGCUAAACCAUGCACCGAAGCUGCGGCAGCGACGCUUAUGCGUUGUUGGGUAGGGGAGCGUUCUGUAAGCCUGUGAAGGUGUGCUGUGAGGCAUGCUGGAGGUAUCAGAAGUGCGAAUGCUGACAUAAGUAACGAUAAAGCGGGUGAAAAGCCCGCUCGCCGGAAGACCAAGGGUUCCUGUCCAACGUUAAUCGGGGCAGGGUGAGUCGACCCCUAAGGCGAGGCCGAAAGGCGUAGUCGAUGGGAAACAGGUUAAUAUUCCUGUACUUGGUGUUACUGCGAAGGGGGGACGGAGAAGGCUAUGUUGGCCGGGCGACGGUUGUCCCGGUUUAAGCGUGUAGGCUGGUUUUCCAGGCAAAUCCGGAAAAUCAAGGCUGAGGCGUGAUGACGAGGCACUACGGUGCUGAAGCAACAAAUGCCCUGCUUCCAGGAAAAGCCUCUAAGCAUCAGGUAACAUCAAAUCGUACCCCAAACCGACACAGGUGGUCAGGUAGAGAAUACCAAGGCGCUUGAGAGAACUCGGGUGAAGGAACUAGGCAAAAUGGUGCCGUAACUUCGGGAGAAGGCACGCUGAUAUGUAGGUGAAGUCCCUUGCGGAUGGAGCUGAAAUCAGUCGAAGAUACCAGCUGGCUGCAACUGUUUAUUAAAAACACAGCACUGUGCAAACACGAAAGUGGACGUAUACGGUGUGACGCCUGCCCGGUGCCGGAAGGUUAAUUGAUGGGGUCAGCGCAAGCGAAGCUCUUGAUCGAAGCCCCGGUAAACGGCGGCCGUAACUAUAACGGUCCUAAGGUAGCGAAAUUCCUUGUCGGGUAAGUUCCGACCUGCACGAAUGGCGUAAUGAUGGCCAGGCUGUCUCCACCCGAGACUCAGUGAAAUUGAACUCGCUGUGAAGAUGCAGUGUACCCGCGGCAAGACGGAAAGACCCCGUGAACCUUUACUAUAGCUUGACACUGAACAUUGAGCCUUGAUGUGUAGGAUAGGUGGGAGGCUUUGAAGUGUGGACGCCAGUCUGCAUGGAGCCGACCUUGAAAUACCACCCUUUAAUGUUUGAUGUUCUAACGUUGGCCCCUAAUCGGGGUUGCGGACAGUGUCUGGUGGGUAGUUUGACUGGGGCGGUCUCCUCCUAAAGAGUAACGGAGGAGCACGAAGGUUGGCUAAUCCUGGUCGGACAUCAGGAGGUUAGUGCAAUGGCAUAAGCCAGCUUGACUGCGAGCGUGACGGCGCGAGCAGGUGCGAAAGCAGGUCAUAGUGAUCCGGUGGUUCUGAAUGGAAGGGCCAUCGCUCAACGGAUAAAAGGUACUCCGGGGAUAACAGGCUGAUACCGCCCAAGAGUUCAUAUCGACGGCGGUGUUUGGCACCUCGAUGUCGGCUCAUCACAUCCUGGGGCUGAAGUAGGUCCCAAGGGUAUGGCUGUUCGCCAUUUAAAGUGGUACGCGAGCUGGGUUUAGAACGUCGUGAGACAGUUCGGUCCCUAUCUGCCGUGGGCGCUGGAGAACUGAGGGGGGCUGCUCCUAGUACGAGAGGACCGGAGUGGACGCAUCACUGGUGUUCGGGUUGUCAUGCCAAUGGCACUGCCCGGUAGCUAAAUGCGGAAGAGAUAAGUGCUGAAAGCAUCUAAGCACGAAACUUGCCCCGAGAUGAGUUCUCCCUGACUCCUUGAGAGUCCUGAAGGAACGUUGAAGACGACGACGUUGAUAGGCCGGGUGUGUAAGCGCAGCGAUGCGUUGAGCUAACCGGUACUAAUGAACCGUGAGGCUUAACCUUACAACGCCGAAG